GUUCAGUCAAGCAUCCAUCACAAAUCAAAACAUCAAUAAAAGUUUUGUUUUAAAACUGCGUUUUUUAUGUUUUCUUAAAUUGUUGGAGUUUUUCAAUCAUUUAACGAAAGAUUUUGUGGAGGUGUCGUUAUGAGCGAUGAUCAACCGUUAUCACGCAGAUCUGCCGUUUUCACCAGGUUUUCACGCAAAACUAAGUGUUUAUCUUCUUCUUCUCUUCUUAUUGGCAUUACAUCCCCACACUGGGACAGAGCCGCCUCGUAGCUUAUUGUUCAUUAAGCACUUCCACAGUUAUUAACUACGAGGUUUCUAAGCCAGGUUACCAUUUUUGCAUUCGUAUAUCAUGAGGCUAGCACGAUGAUACUUUUAUGCCCAGGGAAGUCGAGACAAUUUCCAAUCCGAAAAUUGCCUAGACCGGCACCGGGAAUCGAACCCAGCCACCCUCAGCAUGGCAUUGCUUUGUAGCCGUGCGUCCUACCGCACGGCUAAGGAGUGUUUAUAGCGAAUCAUAAAUUGGCGCGGGCUGCUACCAAAAUAUGUAGAUUUCUCUCAUGGCUCAUCGCGGAAGGAAUACCAGCAGGAAGUUGAGUUCUCUUCUUGCCCAGCAGAUAUAUUGACCAAUGGUUCCCGAAUGGACCUUUGCUUUAAGCCUCAUAUCACUGGUCAUAUUCCGGAUCCUACAAGUAUUUCAAUAUGAUAUGGUCCCGAUCAGUCUCAUUUCUACCAGCGAUUCGGCUUAAAUUAUGCAUCGAGUUCGGUAGAUUUACCGUCAUAGCAUCAAUCGGAAGGUCUUCCUGGAGGACGGCAAUGGAAAGAUCCUGGAAAUUUAGA
Molecule: long non-coding RNA, 828 nt
Organism: Armigeres subalbatus
Lineage: Eukaryota; Metazoa; Arthropoda; Insecta; Diptera; Culicidae
Exons: 4
Source: RefSeq, a predicted model, not a curated record